This 77-nucleotide transfer RNA is filed under the name Acidobacteria bacterium ADurb.Bin340. Its description in RNAcentral is "tRNA-Arg". It matches the Rfam family "tRNA". From Rfam's summary of the family: Transfer RNA (tRNA) molecules are approximately 80 nucleotides in length. Their secondary structure includes four short double-helical elements and three loops (D, anti-codon, and T loops). Further hydrogen bonds mediate the characteristic L-shaped molecular structure. tRNAs have two regions of fundamental functional importance: the anti-codon, which is responsible for specific mRNA codon recognition, and the 3' end, to which the tRNAs corresponding amino acid is attached (by aminoacyl-tRNA synthetases). tRNAs cope with the degeneracy of the genetic code in two manners: having more than one tRNA (with a specific anti-codon) for a particular amino acid; and 'wobble' base-pairing, i.e. permitting non-standard base-pairing at the 3rd anti-codon position. The record is from RNAcentral. Lineage: Bacteria; Pseudomonadati; Acidobacteriota. RNAcentral also lists the same sequence under 1 other name.
GGUUCCGUAGCUCAGGUGGAUAGAGCGACCGCCUCCUAAGCGGUAGGUCGGCAGUUCGAGUCUGCCCGGAACCACCA